Molecule: ribosomal RNA, 150 nt
Filed under: uncultured Exiguobacterium sp.
Lineage: Bacteria; Bacillati; Bacillota; Bacilli; Caryophanales
Description: partial 16S ribosomal RNA
Rfam family: Bacterial small subunit ribosomal RNA
Source: RNAcentral
UACGGGAGGCAGCAGUAGGGAAUCUUCCACAAUGGACGAAAGUCUGAUGGAGCAACGCCGCGUGAGUGAUGAAGGUUUUCGGAUCGUAAAACUCUGUUGUAAGGGAAGAACACGUACGAGAGGUAAUGCUCGUACCUUGACGGUACCUUA